GCGUUACGUGGCGGCUCGAAAGGGCGAAGGCGAAAGGGGAGUGUCGGGCCCCGCCCCCAGCUCAGGUCCCGCCCCGGAUCCGCCCCGCCUCGACCCACCCCUCGCGCGUAACUCCCGCGGGACGCCUGCCGCCCACGUGGUCGAAUCCCAGCCCCGAGGGCCGAGCGGAUCCUUUCAGACGACACGCUGUGGUUCUCGCGGAGUGUGACUGCCGCCGAGCGGGACCUGCUGCUGGCUGUCGAGUCUGGAGUCUUGAGUGGAGACGGAAGUGACAUUCCCUUCGGCCAGCGUGACAGAUUCUUCUCAUCAUUUCUCCCUGAGAUUAGGGCAGUAGUCUCCAACUAGUUUGUCUGCAUUCAGCCCUGGCUUCUCUCCCAGUGCAGUCCCCGGUGCACCCAUGGGUGUGUUGUGUGUUUCCAGCUCCUGCCUCCUCUUCAUCUGCAAGCUGGGCCAUGCUGUCCUAAAAGCUUACCUUGACCUCCGAUGCACAGCUCCAUGCUGGCGCUGGCAGCUGCUGACAUACAGCACACACUCACUAAAAGCUUCUGAUCUGCGCUGUUAAUGUGGAAACCUUGGCAAAAGCAAUGAACUAUCACUGCACAAGAUUGUUUCUCAGUUCGGAGACGUGGGGUAGAGCAUUGUAUAUCCUUAUACUUGCUUAAGAGGAUGGGUAGAAAAGACAAUUUGUAUUUGAAACACAUCACACACAGGUUAAGGACUAGUUACACCAGGUGUAAUCCCAGCACUGAGGGAAGCUGAGGCAGGAGGGUCUUGCAAGUUCGCACCCAGCCUAGACAACUUCAAGAGAUCCUGUCUCAAAAUUAAAAAUAAAAAAGAGCUGGGCUGUUAUCUCAGUGGUAAAGUACCCAUGAUAAAGACUGGUUACUGGAAAAUCAGUGUCUGAAACCAGUGUUGGUGCGAGCAUGCAUUAUUGUCC
Molecule: long non-coding RNA, 937 nt
Organism: Heterocephalus glaber (naked mole-rat)
Lineage: Eukaryota; Metazoa; Chordata; Mammalia; Rodentia; Bathyergidae
Source: Ensembl